Myotis davidii is the source of this 424-nucleotide long non-coding RNA. RefSeq lists it as uncharacterized. The record is from RefSeq and is a predicted model, not a curated record. Lineage: Eukaryota; Metazoa; Chordata; Mammalia; Chiroptera; Vespertilionidae. The transcript has 3 exons.
AGUCUCUGUCAAUAUGGGCAUCAGAGAAGCCUAUGAUGUGGGUGCUCUCUUCUCAUCUUCUGACUCCACUGGACUCUGACCCCAACUGGUGACACCACAGGAGACUUCGAUGAGCAGGACUGCCUGUCCCACCACGCCUCGGGAACCGCCCUGCUUCGGAAGAAACAGAAUUGCUUGCAGACAAAGUCUCCUGAUAAAGAAGACUUCUUCUCUCCAAGCUCCUUGAAAUGAUCUACUUUAAGUCUCAAACCCUGCUUCUAACUCCUCGCUCAUCGACGUGGCGGAGAAGCUUGUCUUGGUGUCAAGAAAUGUUCAUGCGUUACCUUGAGCACCUGGUCCGAGGAGUUUAACCCCGAGCAGGACACACUCACUGGUCCUUUACUCUGCGUCCCGGCACCUGAGCUGAGAGCUUGACAGCUGGUGU